UUCGGGCAGAUGUGUAGGUGCUGCAUGGUUGUCGUCAGCUCGUGCCGUGAGGUGUCGGCUUAAGUGCCAUACGAGCGCAACCCUCAUCAUUAGUUACCAUCAGGUAAGGCUGGGGACUCUAAUGAGACUGCCAUCGUAAGAUGUGAGGAAGGUGGGGAUGACGUCAAAUCAGCACGGCCCUUACGUCCGGGGCGACACACGUGUUACAAUGGGUGGUACAAAGGGCAGCUACCUGGCGACAGGAUGCUAAUCUCCAAAACCACUCUCAGUUCGGAUCGGAGUCUGCAACUCGACUCCGUGAAGCUGGAUUCGCUAGUAAUCGCGCAUCAGCCACGGCGCGGUGAAUACGUUCCCGGGCCUU
RNAcentral lists this ribosomal RNA (361 nucleotides) under uncultured Proteiniphilum sp. RNAcentral describes it as "bacterial SSU rRNA". It matches the Rfam family "Bacterial small subunit ribosomal RNA", at positions 1021 to 1382 of the family's 1533-position model. Lineage: Bacteria; Pseudomonadati; Bacteroidota; Bacteroidia; Bacteroidales; Dysgonomonadaceae. The record is from RNAcentral.